RNAcentral lists this ribosomal RNA (227 nucleotides) under uncultured bacterium. RNAcentral's name for it is "partial 16S ribosomal RNA". It matches the Rfam family "Bacterial small subunit ribosomal RNA", at positions 524 to 749 of the family's 1533-position model. The record is from RNAcentral.
UACGAAGGGGGCUAGCGUUGCUCGGAAUCACUGGGCGUAAAGCGCACGUAGGCGGAUUGUUAAGUCAGGGGUGAAAUCCUGGAGCUCAACUCCAGAACUGCCUUUGAUACUGGCAAUCUCGAGUCCGGGAGAGGUGAGUGGAACUCCGAGUGUAGAGGUGAAAUUCGUAGAUAUUCGCAAGAACACCAAGUGGCGAAGGCGGCUCACUGGCCCGGUACUGACGCUGA